GACAGAGGGGGCAAGCGUUGCUCGGAAUUACUGGGCGUAAAGGGCGCGUAGGCGGGAUGGCAAGUCGGUCGUGAAAUCCCUCGGCUCAACUGAGGAUCGUCGAUCGAUACUGCCGUUCUUGAGGAUUGCAGAGGAGACUGGAAUUCCCGGUGUAGCGGUGAAAUGUGUAGAGAUCGGGAGGAACACCGGUGGCGAAGGCGGGUCUCUGGGCCGGUACUGACGCUGAGGAGCGAAAGCGUGGGGAGCGAACAGG
Molecule: ribosomal RNA, 253 nt
Filed under: uncultured bacterium
Lineage: Bacteria
Description: partial 16S ribosomal RNA
Rfam family: Bacterial small subunit ribosomal RNA
Source: RNAcentral